CUGCUUGUUAGCUCAGUUGGUAGAGCGCUCCGCUGGAAACGGAGAGAUCCAUAGUUCGAUGCCCGGUCCAGGCGGA
This 76-nucleotide transfer RNA is filed under the name Ixodes scapularis (black-legged tick). RNAcentral describes it as "tRNA-Ser". The record is from RNAcentral. Lineage: Eukaryota; Metazoa; Arthropoda; Arachnida; Ixodida; Ixodidae.